RNAcentral lists this ribosomal RNA (253 nucleotides) under uncultured bacterium. RNAcentral's name for it is "partial 16S ribosomal RNA". It matches the Rfam family "Bacterial small subunit ribosomal RNA", at positions 524 to 776 of the family's 1533-position model. The record is from RNAcentral.
UACGUAGGGGGCAAGCGUUGUCCGGAAUUAUUGGGCGUAAAGAGCGUGUAGGCGGUCCGGUAAGUCAGCUGUGAAAGUCAAGGGCUCAACCCUUGAAUGCCGGUUGAUACUGUCGGGCUAGAGUCCGGAAGAGGCGAGUGGAAUUCCCGGUGUAGCGGUGAAAUGCGCAGAUAUCGGGAGGAACACCGGUGGCGAAGGCGGUUCUCUGGGCCUGACCUGACGCUGAGGAGCGAAAGCGUGGGGAGCGAACAGG